RNAcentral lists this ribosomal RNA (623 nucleotides) under fungal endophyte. RNAcentral describes it as "eukaryotic LSU rRNA". The stretch from base 183 to 336 matches the Rfam family "5.8S ribosomal RNA". Lineage: Eukaryota; Fungi. The record is from RNAcentral.
UCAUUAAAGAGUUCUAUAACUCCCAAACCCAUGUGAACAUACCUAACGUUGCCUCGGCAGGUCGCACCUACCUUGUAGCACCCUACCCUGUAGGGCCUACCCGGGAGGUGCGGGUAAGCCUGCCGGCGGCCCACCAAACUCUGUUUGAUAUUGAAUUCUGAACCUAUAACUAAAUAAGUUAAAACUUUCAACAACGGAUCUCUUGGUUCUGGCAUCGAUGAAGAACGCAGCGAAAUGCGAUAAGUAAUGUGAAUUGCAGAAUUCAGUGAAUCAUCGAAUCUUUGAACGCAUAUUGCGCCCAUUAGUAUUCUAGUGGGCAGGACCGUUCGAGCGUCAUUUCAACCCUUAAGCCUUCGUUGCUUAGUGUUGGGAGCCUACGGCAACGUAGCUCCUCAAAGUUAGUGGCGGAGUUGGUUCACACUCUAGACGUAGUAAUUUUUUAUCUCGCCUAUUAGUUGGACUAAUCCCCUGCCGUAAAACCCCCAAUUUAUCAAGGUUGACCUCGAAUCGGUUCAGACAAACUCGCUAAAUUGAAGCAUCUUAGUCAGCGAAGGAAAAGAAACCAACAGGGAUUGCCCUAGUAACGGCGAGUGAAGCGGCAACAGCUCAAAUUUGAAAUCUGG